UACGGGGGGGGCAAGCGUUGUUCGGAAUUACUGGGCGUAAAGGGCUCGUAGGCGGCCAACUAAGUCGGAUGUGAAAUCCCCAGGCUUAACCUGGGAACUGCAUCCGAUACUGGAUGGCUUGAAUCCGGGAGAGGGAUGCAGAAUUCCAGGUGUAGCGGUGAAAUGCGUAGAUAUCUGGAGGAACACCGGUGGCGAAGGCGGCAUCCUGGACCAAUUCUGACGCUGAGUGAGCGAAAGCCAGGGGAGCAAACGGG
This 254-nucleotide ribosomal RNA is filed under the name uncultured bacterium. RNAcentral describes it as "partial 16S ribosomal RNA". It matches the Rfam family "Bacterial small subunit ribosomal RNA", at positions 524 to 776 of the family's 1533-position model. The record is from RNAcentral.